AUUGGACGCUGGCGGAAUGCUUUAUACAUGCAAGUCGAACGGCAGCACGGACUUCGGUCUGGUGGCGAGUGGCGAACGGGUGAGUAAUGUAUCGGAACGUGCCCAGUCGUGGGGGAAACGUAGUGAAAAUUACGCUAAUACCGCAUACGAUCUAUGGAUGAAAGCGGGGGAUCGCAAGACCUCGCGCGAUUGGAGCGGCCGAUAUCAGAUUAGGUAGAUGGUGGGGUAAAGGCCCACCAAGCCAACGAUCUGUAGCUGGUCUGAGAGGACGACCAGCCACACUGGAACUGAGACACGGUCCAGACUCCUACGGGAGGCAGCAGUGGGGAAUUUUGGACAAUGGGCGAAAGCCUGAUCCAGCCAUUCCGCGUGCAGGAUGAAGGCCCUCGGGUUGUAAACUGCUUUUGUACAGAACGAAAAGGUUUCUACUAAUACUAGGAGCUCAUGACGGUACUGUAAGAAUAAGCACCGGCUAACUACGUGCCAGCCGCCGCAGUAA
RNAcentral lists this ribosomal RNA (499 nucleotides) under uncultured bacterium. RNAcentral describes it as "partial 16S ribosomal RNA". It matches the Rfam family "Bacterial small subunit ribosomal RNA", at positions 30 to 523 of the family's 1533-position model. The record is from RNAcentral.